GAUGAACGCUGGCGGCGUGCCUAAUACAUGCAAGUCGAGCGAACAGAUAAGGAGCUUGCUCCUUUGACGUUAGCGGCGGACGGGUGAGUAACACGUGUGUAACCUACCUAUAAGUCUGGGAUAACCUCGGGAAACCGGAGCUAAUACCGUAUAAGAUUUCGAACCGCAUGGUUCGAUAGUGAAAGACGGUGUUGCUAUCACUUAUAGAUGGACCCGCGCCGUAUUAGCUAGUUGUUAAGGUAACGGCUUACCAAGGCGACGAUACGUAGCCGACCUGAGAGGGUGAUCGGCCACACUGGAACUGAGACACGGUCCAGACUCCUACGGGAGGCAGCAGUAGGGAAUCUUCCGCAAUGGGCGAAAGCCUGACGGAGCAACGCCGCGUGAGUGAUGAAGGUCUUCGGAUCGUAAAACUCUGUUAUUAGGGAAGAACAUACGUGUAAGUAACUGUGCACGUCUUGACGGUACCUAAUCAGAAAGCAACGGCUAACUACGUG
This 497-nucleotide ribosomal RNA is filed under the name uncultured bacterium. Its description in RNAcentral is "partial 16S ribosomal RNA". It matches the Rfam family "Bacterial small subunit ribosomal RNA", at positions 28 to 507 of the family's 1533-position model. The record is from RNAcentral.